This 1122-nucleotide long non-coding RNA is filed under the name Homo sapiens (human). Its description in RNAcentral is "HSALNT0341917". Lineage: Eukaryota; Metazoa; Chordata; Mammalia; Primates; Hominidae. The record is from RNAcentral.
UUAACAAUUUCUAGAGCAUAAGUACUUUCACCCUGGCCAAUUCCAAGCAACCAAUAUGAUGUCACAGGUUGGGCAGUUGGGAGGAGAUGUACACACUGGUUCUUGUGGGCCAGUACCACUUGGCUCCAGCACUCCACUGCUACCUUUGAGCUCUUAAAGCAGAAGCAGCCAGAGAAGCAGGUUAGCAGUUCUGGAACACAAGGGACUAGCUGAGUCUCGGCCCUCAUCCACAUGGCCAGCAAAGGUGAAGAUGGGCUCACCCCAGAGAAGGGCUACCAGGGCCUGGGGUUUCCCUGCAGCAGCCUCCUGGUGCUAAACUGCCACCUGGAUCUUCCACACCACAAGAUUAUCUUUUGAAAGUGAGGUCAAGAAAGGGGGCAUGGAGAAAAAGACAAAAGUUACUUAAAAAUGAGGUGACUCAACUCUUUAUCUGGCGUAUCCACGUUGUAUAUGCUACCCUCCCAUUCACCAUGGAUAGAUAUCACCUGCUCCUAACAACAUGGCUCAAUGAUCCAGGAUCAUCAAAGCAAAAUAUUCUCCUGAGGUAUUGACAGAAGGUCAGCAGUAGCCUAACACCAGUGGGCAGCUGCACUGCAAACCCCACAGCUAAACAGCAUUAUUUAAUGAAAGAAUGGAGGCUGGUGGAAGAGGACACUCUUGUGAGGCCUACAUUGCUGAGACUAGAUAGAUCCUAAGCAGAGGCAAGAAGGAUAUACAGUCAUAGCAGGAUUCAAUUUGGCGGCAACAGUGCGUAAGUCUGAGGAUUGAGAUUGUCUGUACUGGUCUUUAGCCAUUUGAUUAACGAUACUUUAAUGUCUCUAUUAAGACCCAAAAGAGUUAUGUCAACCAUUUUUCCCUGUUUAUUUCCUUCUAUAUAUUUUUAAUAAUAAUACGGUUUGUUUGGAUUUAUUAUUAAUAUCUGGUAACAUUAUUUAACCAUCUUGUAAUAUUGCAUUUGAUUGAUUUUUCUUUCUUUAUGCAUUCUCUAACAUUCCCACUGAUCUAUUCAAUUGCUCUGGUCUUAAUUUUAUAAAUAAGCAAUAACUAUGAAACUCUGUGUUGGCAAUUUGAAAAUAAUAUUUAGCAGCAUAUUUUCCAAGUACAUACACAACACACAAAUUC